Molecule: RNase P RNA, 341 nt
Filed under: Erysipelotrichaceae bacterium
Lineage: Bacteria; Bacillati; Bacillota; Erysipelotrichia; Erysipelotrichales; Erysipelotrichaceae
Description: RNase P RNA component class B
Rfam family: Bacterial RNase P class B
About the family: Ribonuclease P (RNase P) is a ubiquitous endoribonuclease, found in archaea, bacteria and eukarya as well as chloroplasts and mitochondria.
Source: RNAcentral
GCGCUCAGGCAAUCGCUGGUAUUAUAAAAUAUUAGAGGAAAGUCCAUGCUCGCACAAUCUGAGAUGAUUGUAGUGUUUGUGCCAGUUGAAAAAAUAAAACUGGGUAACGAAAGUUAACGGCGGAAUUAUAUUCUAAGGUGUAAACUAUGAAUAUAAACCCUAAGGUGUCACAGUGACGAAGUCAAUAAGGAAACUUAUUGAGUGGAACGGAUAAACCCCGCAAGCGAGAAACCCAAAAUUGGUAGGGGAGCUAAUUAUUUCAAAAUGAAGAAAUAAUUGGACACGAAAGUGUAGAUAAAUGGUUGCCACAAGGAAACUUGGACAGAACAUGGCUUAUCGAG